This 253-nucleotide long non-coding RNA is filed under the name Nicotiana benthamiana. RNAcentral describes it as "long non-coding RNA (NBEN_LNC025549)". Lineage: Eukaryota; Viridiplantae; Streptophyta; Magnoliopsida; Solanales; Solanaceae. The record is from RNAcentral.
AAACUGAUAGCUCUAUUAUCCAAUCAUGUUAACCACAAUUGGAUAAUAGAUUCUUGAGCUUCAAACCAUAUAACAUCCACAUUAGAGAUGGUAAGUUCCUGUCAGUAGUUUCACCUCAAAAGGAAGUAAGGUUCACUUGCCUGCCUCUAUUUUACAUGUAAGAAAAGCAAGUGUGUUUAACUAUCGGGAUUUCAGUAGUGUGCUGUACAUACCAGAGUGUAAAUACAAUCUAUUGUCUGUGUCUAAAUUGACC